AGUAGCGGCGAGCGAAGCGGGAAGAGCUCAAAUUUAUAAUCUGGCACUUUCGGUGUCCGAGUUGUAAUCUCUAGAAAUGUUUUCCGCGUUGGACCGCACACAAGUCUGUUGGAAUACAGCGGCAUAGUGGUGAGACCCCCGUAUAUGGUGCGGACGCCCAGCGCUUUGUGAUACAUUUUCGAAGAGUCGAGUUGUUUGGGAAUGCAGCUCAAAUUGGGUGGUAAAUUCCAUCUAAAGCUAAAUAUUGGCGAGAGACCGAUAGCGAACAAGUACCGUGAGGGAAAGAUGAAAAGCACUUUGGAAAGAGAGUUAACAGUACGUGAAAUUGUUGGAAGGGAAACGCUUGAAGUCAGACUUGCUUGCCGAGCAAUCGGUUUGCAGGCCAGCAUCAGUUUUCCGGGAUGGAUAAUGGUAGAGAGAAGGUAGCAGUUUCGGCUGUGUUAUAGCUCUCUGCUGGAUACAUCUUGGGGGACUGAGGAACGCAGUGUGCCUUUGGCGGGGGUUUCGACCUCUUCACACUUAGGAUGCUGGUGGAAUGGCUUUAAACGACCCGUCUUGAAACACGGACCAAGGAGUCUAACAUGCUUGCGAGUAUUUGGGUGUCAAACCCGGAUGCGUAAUGAAAGUGAAUGGAGGUGGGAACCGCAAGGUGCACCAUCGACCGAUCUGGAUUUUUAAUGAUGGAUUUGAGUAAGAGCACGUAUGUUGGGACCCGAAAGAUGGUGAACUAUGCCUGAAUAGGGCGAAGCCAGAGGAAACUCUGGUGGAGGCUCGUAGCGGUUCUGACGUGCAAAUCGAUCGUCAAAUUUGGGUAUAGGGGCGAAAGAC
RNAcentral lists this ribosomal RNA (828 nucleotides) under Rhodotorula sp. RNAcentral describes it as "partial large subunit ribosomal RNA". It matches the Rfam family "Eukaryotic large subunit ribosomal RNA", at positions 82 to 931 of the family's 3401-position model. Lineage: Eukaryota; Fungi; Basidiomycota; Microbotryomycetes; Sporidiobolales; Sporidiobolaceae. The record is from RNAcentral.